RNAcentral lists this ribosomal RNA (190 nucleotides) under uncultured fungus. Its description in RNAcentral is "partial 18S ribosomal RNA". It matches the Rfam family "Eukaryotic small subunit ribosomal RNA", at positions 892 to 1078 of the family's 1831-position model. The record is from RNAcentral. Lineage: Eukaryota; Fungi.
UAGUAUUCAAUUGUCAGAGGUGAAAUUCUUGGAUUUAUUGAAGACUAACUACUGCGAAAGCAUUUGCCAAGGAUGUUUUCAUUAAUCAAGAACGAAAGUUAGGGGAUCGAAGACGAUCAGAUACCGUCGUAGUCUUAACCAUAAACUAUGCCGACUAGGGAUCGAAUGAUGUUAAUUUUUUAAUGACUCA